UUAUUUAUAUUUUUUAUUUACUUUUCAACAAUCCAUGUCUAUGUUUUACAAUAUUGGUGUAACAAUAACAAUUUAACUAGAAACCUUCAUUUAUAAGUUAUAUGUUACAAAACAUGUGACAUGUUCUAUUAUCUUGAUGGCCACCUUUCUGAAUGAAAAAAAAAAAAACGUCAGAUAAAUAUCUAAAGUAACUUUAAAAUUAUUUAUAUAAAUGUCAACCAUGAUGAACGUCAGUUUGGUUAACCUGUUGUCACUAUGGAAGAUUGACACCAAUCAAUCUCCUGUUACUUUGAAACAGGUGCCCUACAUGAUAAAUUUUUAAUUUUGAAUUAAAAAAAAACAUCACAAAGGGAUUUAUUUUAGCUUAUUCAUAUAAGCCAUAAACACAAGUAACAGAGGAGUAAACUGGAGUUAAUCUUGGCGAUGUAAUGGUAAUGUGAUGUAAAAAAACUUAUUUUUUUUCUAAAAAUAGAUCUAAAUUUGAAUGUAGGUUUAUUUAUUGACACUUGCUGUAUCACAAGUUUCACUUUUUAUCCAAUUGAUACAAAUUUAUUCAUAAAAUGGUAAUGGCCUAUGCAAAAGUAAAUUAUAUUUUUAAUCUUUUCACAAAGCACAUACUUUAUAUUUUCAUCAAACAAAGGUUCAAUAUUUUGUAUCCAAUUACCCUCAACAUUGUGAGAAGGCUAUUGUCAAACAGUCACUUUCGGUUUACUUGGUUUACUUUGGGUGGUCCAUUUACUAAGGGAAAACUUUUUAUAAUUUCUUAUUAAGAGCUAUCUAAUGCUACAUGAUUGCAGUAUUCUUAUAAAAAAAAAUGGCACAAUAUCUUUAAUUAUAUAUAACUAAAAUAUGGUAUUUAUAAGAAUAACCAAGAGAUCUUUCACCUACUCCUCACAUAUUCCAUCCUUCUCGUUCAGUUUACAUACACUGAUUAAACAUUGCAUAAUACUGUAUACUUCAUAAAUAAUGUGAACAUGUUACCUUAACAAUAUAUUUCCCAGAUAAUAUACAUAUACAUGUAACUGUUUGAUGAUAUUGAAAUCAUAGUUUACCUCUAGCUGCUGUUGUGUUCUAGAUAUUUCAGGAUCUUCCCUAUAGAAUUUUGUACAUAAAAGGUAUUUUAGAAAACUAAUGUUAAUUUCAAGCACUCAUUAUAUUUUCAAAGGGCUGAAAUUGUCCUGUAAAAUGAAAUUUUUAGUGAUACCAUACAAAUCGAUAUCUGUCAAAAUAUAAUGCCUUAUGUCCAAAGGUGUUAAUUAGCGGUCACCAUAAACAUGUCAUUUUAACUGUUAUACAAACAAGUAUGUUUACUCAGCUUUAAUCUCUUUUGAAAAUGAUUAGUUGACAGAAGAAAUACUACCGAUUUGAAUUUUUAUGAUUAGGUCUGCAUCUUUUUAAAAUUCUUACUUUCAAAGUUCGAGACAUCAGAGUCAAUUUACAUUAUUCUACUUCGACGGGACUAUAAAAUUUACUCGACUUAACCGAGUAUUCGAAUCAACCAAGUUCGACUCAUCAGAGGUAAUUAUGCAUUGAUCAAACGGGAAUUUUACCGGGACCGAGAAAUUACUUCGACUCAUCCGAGUUUUCGACACAACCGAGUUCGACACAACAAGGUUCGACUGUAUCUAACAUUCAAUCAAAGUAGGAUGUUUUGAUACAAUAUUUGAAAACAAUGAUUCAUAAAAUGCCAAAUUUAAAAGACCUAAAGGUUGUCUGCUACUGAUAUUCACAAAUAACAUCUUGUAAUGUUCCCUAAAUUCAGAAUGAAAGAUUAAAAUAUCAAAUUUUAGAAAAUACAUUUGUAUACUACUUGGUUUUACAUUCAAGCAUUGUAAAAACUGACUUUUUAAACUGUAUCUAAAAUCUAAAAAUAAAUAAUAACAAUUAUUUGUUUUAAGGUCAUUAAACCAUAAAACUGAAUUUAACUGCACUGCUGUUGUUAUUUUCUUUUCUAAUAUUAAUAUGCAGAAAAGUUCAAAAUAUAAAACAGAUUGUAUAUAUAUUAUUUAAUACACACAUAUAUUUGAGACAGAAUAUAGAGUCAAUUGACAUCAUAUAGAAAAAAAUGUAAUUUAUUUAAACCAGUAAUGAGUAACCUUAUAUAUUAAAUGUUAGAUGAUAAGAAAUUUAAUUGAUACUUAGAUGCAGGUAAGUGAAUUUGUGAUGAAAUUUUAUACAGGAUGAAUUCAAAUGAAAUGCUUCUAAAUAACUUGUUAAGAUCUACAUUAAAAAUAAACUGAAUGAUAUUAACAUCAACAAAUUUUAAUCAAGCUUAUUCCACGAAGAAGUUUUUGUCUUUUUGAAACUUAUAAUAUAAACUUCUGUUUUUCUCAAUUAAAGGUUACAAAUUUUAACAAAGCUGCUGAUCAUGAUAUUAAGGAAUGUUCUCUUAGGGCUAUUCCAUUAAAAUAUAUGUGGGUUGGUAGGAAAGGAAGUCUAAUUAUUGAAUGUGGGUCCUGGGUCUUUUUUAGUACGCUUCUAUUACCUUUAAGCAAAAAUGUUCUUGGUUUGAGGUAUACUUUGAAAGUCCUUUCCUACCCUCCCAAAUACAUUUUAAUGGAAAAGCCUUUAUAUAAAACUUAACUAACUUAACUGAAAAGUAAACAAUAACAUGCAACUUGAUAUAAAAUUUGUAUCUUACUUUUAAAGACAUAGAGAAACUUUACAACCUAACUGAAAAAAAUAAUUCACUUGUUUUCAGAAUUCUGUUUUACACAUUGACUACAAACAUUACACAAACAUUUGGGGUAAUGGCACACACUUUCUUAGUACACAAAAUUUCACACAAUAUUCAAGAAAACACAGGCAAACAGAAAUGUAUCCUAUUUAUAAAACAAAUUUAUUUUCGACAGAACUUUUACAAUGGUAGACUUAAAAAAAAAUUCAAAGUCUUAAAAAUUUGUAUACAGAUCUACAUGUUCUAGUUUCAUGCAAAAAGUAAUUAAAACCAGUGAGAUCACCCUUUAAUAUACCAGCUACCUGAAAACACGCAUUCACAAAAAAUAUGAAAAAAAUGUGUACACUCUCUACAGAAAUAUCACAUUUGAAAUAAGAAAUAUUGUCUAGAAGAAAAUCAAAAUAAAUUAACAUAUGAAAAAACUAACUUUAAAACUCAACACAACAUUUCAUACAUUAUUAGUUGAUUUAUAAUAUAUUACCUUUAUUUACAAAAUGUGCAGUAAUCAAUACAAAAUUUGCAACUAAUUAUUUUCUAGGCCACUUUUCUAAGAUAAAAUUAACUUCCAUCAAAUUUUCUAAAUUGAAAUAUGUACAGCUACUUAAAAAUAUUUACAAUAUAAGUUCAUUGUGAAAUGGAUGUUAAUGUAUUCAAGAAUAGAAUUUGACAUGCAGAAUAAAAAAAAAAACACGAACAAGUGAAAACAAUCUAUACCCGAA
RNAcentral lists this long non-coding RNA (3396 nucleotides) under Mytilus galloprovincialis (Mediterranean mussel). Lineage: Eukaryota; Metazoa; Mollusca; Bivalvia; Mytilida; Mytilidae. The record is from RNAcentral.